RNAcentral lists this long non-coding RNA (254 nucleotides) under Ananas comosus (pineapple). Its description in RNAcentral is "long non-coding RNA (ACOM_LNC030829)". The record is from RNAcentral. Lineage: Eukaryota; Viridiplantae; Streptophyta; Magnoliopsida; Poales; Bromeliaceae.
ACACUUUUAGGUUUCGAAAUUCCUUCACCAAGUUCUGGAACCUGAACAUCCAGUAACUUGUUUUCUUUGGCUUUUCUCUAUGAUAUCGACUUUGACAUGGCUUCAUCUUGAUUCAGUAUUCUUUUUUUUUUUUUAGAGAAAGAUAGCAUGCUACCGCUUCAUUUAUUCUUGAUCCAAUAUUCCUACGGUUGCAUAAUUCCAGCAUUAGGCGUCCUUUAGCAUCGUUGGCCUUUUUCAUUUUUCAAAAAGAAUUU